This 253-nucleotide ribosomal RNA is filed under the name uncultured bacterium. Its description in RNAcentral is "partial 16S ribosomal RNA". It matches the Rfam family "Bacterial small subunit ribosomal RNA", at positions 524 to 776 of the family's 1533-position model. The record is from RNAcentral.
UACAGAGGGUGCAAGCGUUAAUCGGAAUUACUGGGCGUAAAGCGUGCGUAGACGGUUAUGUAAGUCGGGUGUGAAAGCCCCGGGCUCAACCUGGGAAUGCCAUUCGAGACUGCAUAGCUAGGGUGCGGAAGAGGGAGGCGGAAUUUCCGGUGUAGCGGUGAAAUGCGUAGAUAUCGGAAGGAACACCAGUGGCGAAAGCGGCUUCCUGGUCCAGCACCGACGUUCAGGCACGAAAGCGUGGGGAGCAAACAGG